AUGGAAUCAUGGUCACCACUCGUUCCAUUUUUGAUUUUAGUCAAGAUAAUUCUCAUUUUAACAGUUGGAGUGUUUGCCUUGACAAAAUCACUGAUUCUUGAGACACCAAGACCUAUCAUAGAAGUACAAAGUACUGAUGCUGAUUACAUCAUUACUCUGCUAGUUCUCGCUAUAGUCCUUGUUGUUGAACUAGCACAGGCAGCAUUUUAUCUGGCUUCAGAUUGGGUCCAGGUAUCAGUAGCCUGCAGGUAUGUCAAGAAAAAUUGUAAUGCAGCCAAUGCACGUUUUGGAAGAGUUGUUGGUUUUCUUAGAAGGGUUAUUAAUUCUGGAUCCUUGAGAAAUAAGAUCAACCAACACUCAGUUGUUCUUCGACGGAAGCACUUAGACCCAAUAGAGGUUUCUGAUGCAGUGAAGGGGGCUAUUGCUAGGUCGCUCAUAUUAACUGAUGGCAACCUAACCAACGGAGAAACAUCACUAAGGAAGAACCAAAUGUUCGGGAAGUGUUAUUGGACAUUCAGGGAUCACUCUCAGCUGGAAGUCAUGUUCAUUUGGCAUAUCGCAACCGAGUAUUGUGAAAUUUCUGACGAUGAUAGAAAUGGGAUUACUCGACAUAAUGGCUGA
This 621-nucleotide ribosomal RNA is filed under the name Triticum aestivum (bread wheat). RNAcentral describes it as "partial small subunit ribosomal RNA". The record is from RNAcentral. Lineage: Eukaryota; Viridiplantae; Streptophyta; Magnoliopsida; Poales; Poaceae.